GCAAUGGUGGUUCAAUGGUAGAGUUCUUCCCUUCCAUGUGGGAGAACUGGGUUUGAUUCCCAGCCAACGCA
This 71-nucleotide transfer RNA is filed under the name Loxodonta africana (African savanna elephant). It matches the Rfam family "tRNA". From Rfam's summary of the family: Transfer RNA (tRNA) molecules are approximately 80 nucleotides in length. Their secondary structure includes four short double-helical elements and three loops (D, anti-codon, and T loops). Further hydrogen bonds mediate the characteristic L-shaped molecular structure. tRNAs have two regions of fundamental functional importance: the anti-codon, which is responsible for specific mRNA codon recognition, and the 3' end, to which the tRNAs corresponding amino acid is attached (by aminoacyl-tRNA synthetases). tRNAs cope with the degeneracy of the genetic code in two manners: having more than one tRNA (with a specific anti-codon) for a particular amino acid; and 'wobble' base-pairing, i.e. permitting non-standard base-pairing at the 3rd anti-codon position. Lineage: Eukaryota; Metazoa; Chordata; Mammalia; Proboscidea; Elephantidae. The record is from Rfam by way of RNAcentral.